AAAAAACUGGGCGAUCUGGCUGGGACAUCUGUCACCCCACUGAUCGCUAGGGUUGAUUAGGCUGAUUUGGCUAGCUAGGUGGGUGUCCCCUUCCUCUCAUCGCUCCAUUUGCACCCCUCCCUGAAGCUGCAUGCUCAGUGGAAGAGGACGACCAUCCCCAACAGAGGAUAUAUGGGUAGCUGCACUUCCCUGCUAGAACCUCCAAACAAGCCCUCAAGGUCCAUAAUAAAAACUCAUCAAAUUAGAAAUAAAAGGAAAAUUUCUCAAUCUGAUUAAGGGUGAUUGU
Molecule: small nuclear RNA, 286 nt
Filed under: Castor canadensis (American beaver)
Lineage: Eukaryota; Metazoa; Chordata; Mammalia; Rodentia; Castoridae
Description: 7SK RNA (ENSCCNG00000015673.1)
Rfam family: 7SK RNA
About the family: 7SK was discovered as an abundant small nuclear RNA in the mid-70s but a possible function has only recently been suggested. Two independent studies have found that 7SK RNA binds the CDK9/cyclin T complex (known as elongation factor P-TEFb).
Source: RNAcentral